ACUCUGUACAACUUGUUCUGGGAAAUUGUGAAAAUAGCAAUAUUGAGGAAAAAAAAAUCUGCCUGAAAAAAACUCACCAGUGUUUUUACCAGGUUCAUUUCUCAAGAUCAUAUAAGGAGGUCAUAAAGAGCACAGAAUUUAGAUCCAGACUUGAAUUCCAUCUGCACUGGUCACAAGCUAAGUGACCUUGGACAGGUUAAAGCAUGACAAAUUCUCAGAUGCUGCGGGUAUCCGGAGGAAGUGUUCCUAGUCCUUCCUGGAAGAGGUGAUAUCUGAGCUGAUUCUUGGGAGUGAGAUGCUGUUCCCGCAGAAAGAACAGCAUGUACAAGGACUUAUGCUGGAGAGCAAUGAACAUUCUUGGAACACCGUGGAGUUCGGCAUAACUGGGGAAAAGAGGGCAGUUGAAGAAUGUGGAAAUUUGCAACAAAUCUAAAACAGCUUAAAAUCACGGGUUUUUGUAAAUAAAGAGCUUUGCAGUCAUCAUGUUUUCUGGUUUUUUUACGGGCUGUCAUUCCAGACCA
Molecule: long non-coding RNA, 521 nt
Organism: Cynocephalus volans (Philippine flying lemur)
Lineage: Eukaryota; Metazoa; Chordata; Mammalia; Dermoptera; Cynocephalidae
Exons: 4
Source: RefSeq, a predicted model, not a curated record